This is a long non-coding RNA of Patella vulgata (common limpet), 871 nucleotides long. RefSeq lists it as uncharacterized. The record is from RefSeq and is a predicted model, not a curated record. NCBI's taxonomy places the organism in Eukaryota, Metazoa, Mollusca, Gastropoda, Patellidae. The transcript has 5 exons.
AUCAGAUUAUCAUACUGUACAUGACUACAACCCCAAUGUUGAUCCAAGAGUCAUCAAUGCUUUUUCUACAGCUGCCCUGAGAUAUGGCCAUUCUUCCAUACCCAAUCAAUGGACGUAUAAAGGAGAAAAGGAGAAGGUACCACUAGUUGAAAUGUUCAAUAGUCCAUUCUUUAUUUAUAAAGAUGAAGGAAAGGGUUUAGAUGCUAUAAUUGAGGGGAUGUUAAUUGAUUCGAGCCAAGAUACCGACAAUGUUUUUAGUGAUAGUAUAACGAAUAAAUUAUUUGAAACACUGAAGGUUCCUGGUAUGGACUUAGCUGCUAUCAAUAUACAACGUGGUCGGGAUCACGGUCUGGCACCAUACAAUAAAUACAGAGAAUAUUGUGGUCUGGACCCUAUAGUAUUUGACAAUAGCACGGCACAAAUUAAAGCUCUUGCUUCAGUUUAUAGGAAAGCGGAUGAUGUGGACUUGUUUAUUGGCGGAGUAACAGAAGUUACGGUGACAGGCGGCCAUGUUGGACCAACUUUCGCCUGUAUUAUUGCCGAACAAUUUCAUAAUAUAAAAUAUGGCGAUCGUUUCUGGUUUGAGAAUAUCAAGACCUCAAACCCUUAUUUCUCUGUCAACCCAGCAAGUUUUACCGUUGGUCAAGUGAAUGCAAUCAGACGAAUGAGUAUGGGCCGAAUUUUAUGUGAUUCCACUGAUAUUUCAUAUGUUCCCAGGAAAUCGUUUUUACAUCCAAUGAAUGGUCAACCAACGAAACAUGUUUCGUGUAAAGAUUAUUACAGCCUUCCAGCAUUAGACAUCAGACAGUGGUACCAGCCGUCGCCAAUGUUCGGUUAAAAUUAUCACAGAAUGCUAGUAAUAGACAUUCGG